UACGGGGGGGGCAAGCGUUGUUCGGAAUUACUGGGCGUAAAGGGCUCGUAGGCGGCCAACUAAGUCAGACGUGAAAUCCCCAGGCUCAACCUAGGAACUGCGUCUGAUACUGGAUGGCUUGAAUCCGGGAGAGGGAUGCAGAAUUCCAGGUGUAGCGGUGAAAUGCGUAGAUAUCUGGAGGAAUACCGGUGGCGAAGGCGGCAUCCUGGACCGGCAUUGACGCUGAGGAGCGAAAGCCAGGGGAGCAAACGGG
RNAcentral lists this ribosomal RNA (253 nucleotides) under uncultured bacterium. RNAcentral's name for it is "partial 16S ribosomal RNA". It matches the Rfam family "Bacterial small subunit ribosomal RNA", at positions 524 to 776 of the family's 1533-position model. The record is from RNAcentral.